This 1418-nucleotide ribosomal RNA is filed under the name metagenome. Its description in RNAcentral is "bacterial SSU rRNA". It matches the Rfam family "Bacterial small subunit ribosomal RNA". The record is from RNAcentral.
GGUGAGUAAUGUAUAGACAACCUACCCUCGAGAAGGGGAUAAUAACUCGAAAGGGUUACUAAUACCGCAUAAGUUGAGAGUACGCAUGUACACUCAAUGAAAGUUGGGGACCUUCGGGCCUAAUGCUUGAGGAGGGGUCUAUAUCCUAUCAGCUAGUUGGCAGGGUGAAAGCCUACCAAGGCGAUGACGGGUAGCCGGCCUGAGAGGGUGAACGGCCACAUGGACACUGCGACACGGGUCCAACUCCUACGGGAGGCAGCAGUAGGGAAUAUUGGACAAUGGGCGAAAGCCUGAUCCAGCGACGCCGUGUGGAGGAUGACGGCCUUCGGGUUGUAAACUCCUUACACAGGUUAUGAAGGCAUGAGGAGCGAACAGCGCCUUGUGUUUGACAAUCCUGGGAUGAAGUCAUUGCUAACUCUGUGCCAGCAGCAGCGGUAAUACAGAGAUGACGACCGUUGUUCGGAAUUACUGGGCUUAAAGAGCUCGUAGGUGGGGUGUUAAGUCGGUUGUGAAAGACCACGUUUUAAGCGUGGGGGGUCAGCCGAAACUGGCAUUCUUGAGGACGGUAGGGGAGAGUGGAAUUCCUGGUGGAGCGGUGAAAUGCGUAGAGAUCAGGAGGAACGCCGGAGGCGAAGGUGACUCUCUAGGCCGUUCCUGACACUGAGGUGCGAAAGCUAGGGGAGCAAACGGGAUUAGAUACCCCGGUAGUCCUAGCUGUAAACUAUGGGCACUAAGUGGGGGAGGGUACUUCCUCGCCGGAGCGAAAGCAUUAAGUGCCCCGCCUGGGGAGUAUGACCGCAAGGUUGAAACUCAAAGGAAUUGACGGGGGCUCGCACAAGCGGUGGAGCAUGUGGUUUAAUUCGACAACGCGAAGAACCUUACCUGGGCUUGACAUGAUAGGAUUAGCCUCGUGAAAGCGAGGUGACACCUCGCAAGGGGUGGAACUACCACAGGUGUUGCAUGGCUGUCGUCAGCUCGUGCCGUGAGGUGUUGGGUUAAGUCCUAUAACGAGCGAAACCUUUGUCCUUAGUUACCAUCGGGUAAAGCCGGGGACUCUAAGGAGACUGCAGGCGUUAAGCCUGAGGAAGGUGGAGAUGACGUCAAGUCAUCAUGGCCUUUAUGCCCAGGGCUACACACGUGCUACAAUGGUCGGUACAAAGGGAAGCUAAGCCGCGAGGUAGAGCAAAUCCCGAAAAAGCCGAUCCCAGUUCAGAUUGCGGGCUGCAAUUCGCCCGCAUGAAGCCGGAAUCGCUAGUAAUCGUAGGUCAGCUACACUACGGUGAAUGUGUUCCCGAGCCUUGUACACACCGCCCGUCAAGCCACCGAAGCAAGGGUAGCCUAAAGUCACUGGCCUAACCCGCAAGGGGAGGAAGUGCCCAAGGAAACGCUUGUGACGGGGACUAAGUCGUAACAAGGUA